UAGGGAAUCUUCCGCAAUGGGCGAAAGCUUGACGGAGCAACGCCGCGUGAGUGAUGAAGGUCUUCGGAUCGUAAAACUCUGUUAUUAGGGAAGAACAAAUGUGUAAGUAACUAUGCACGUCUUGACGGUACCUAAUCAGAAAGCCACGGCUAACUACGUGCCAGCAGCCGCGGUAAUACGUAGGUGGCAAGCGUUAUCCGGAAUUAUUGGGCGUAAAGCGCGCGUAGGCGGUUUUCUAAGUCUGAUGUGAAAGCCCACGGCUCAACCGUGGAGGGUCAUUGGAAACUGGAAAACUUGAGUGCAGAAGAGGAAAGUGGAAUUCCAUGUGUAGCGGUGAAAUGCGCAGAGAUAUGGAGGAACACCAGUGGCGAAGGCGACUUUCUGGUCUGUAACUGACGCUGAUGUGCGAAAGCGUGGGGAUCAAACAGG
This 429-nucleotide ribosomal RNA is filed under the name Actinomycetes bacterium. RNAcentral describes it as "Actinobacteria bacterium partial 16S ribosomal RNA". It matches the Rfam family "Bacterial small subunit ribosomal RNA", at positions 355 to 776 of the family's 1533-position model. Lineage: Bacteria; Bacillati; Actinomycetota; Actinomycetes. The record is from RNAcentral.